Molecule: long non-coding RNA, 2200 nt
Organism: Cavia porcellus (domestic guinea pig)
Lineage: Eukaryota; Metazoa; Chordata; Mammalia; Rodentia; Caviidae
Exons: 3
Source: RefSeq, a predicted model, not a curated record
UCCAGCCUUCUGCUCUCUGCUUCCUGUCCGCCUUGCAGUGAGCUGCUCUCCUCCUCCUGGUUCCUCUGUGGAACCAGCCGACCCUGGACUGAAACCGCUCCUCUUUCAAGUCGGGGUGUCAGGGAUGGCACCCCAGCAACAGGAUACACGACUACGGCCACACGCAUAUUCAGAGAAUUAGAGAACAAGACUCUGGGAGCAAAAGGACAACACAAGCAGGAGAUGGUCGUGUGAGUGGAUGAUGAUGGCAAUGAUGAUGACUUUGACAUUGUGAGCAAAAGUUCCUGUGACAGUGAAAUGGAGCAAGAAUCAACUGACAGACACAGGGAAUGCAGACUUCUUUGACUCAGAUGACGAAGAAAAUAGCAAUGUGGGAAAAUUUACAUUGGUAUUGUUUAUGGCAAAGGAAAUCACACUGGUACUACUGAUGUCAGCAUUUCACCAUGGUGAAGAUAUUAAUAGGGAAACCUUGACAAAAUGGAAGCCUGAGACGGACACUUUGUACAACAAAACCAAACGCACAGGAGAAGUUGUUGAUGAGUUAUACAGCAACUGUGAUGUCACUCAAAACACAAAGCAUGGUUCAGUGGUUGUGUGUUACUCAAUCCUAAAAAUGUGUGGCAUAUAAAGUUUGACAGUUUACAGAGAAAAUGACAAGUACAAAGUCCCACAGAGAAAUUUUCUUAGAGGUUUCAGAGUGGAACUCAUAAGAGAUCAUUUGCCGCAGAGAAAAACUACACAAAAUAUUGUGAAGCACACUGCUGAGCUGCCAGGUGGUCAGCAUCCCUAAGACCUACUAUGAAAAAAACCAAAAAUAUGUCAACUGUGCCCCACGAGAAAGGACAGAAAACCAAAAUGCGUGUACUAUCAUUGAAGUGAUACUUGUGUAUGAAACACCUUUCAUGUGUGAAGUCUGCCUUGGGUGUGGCAACUGAAGUAAAGAUUAUUAUUGUUGUAGAGGUUGUUGGUAAUUUCAUUGCGGUUAACCUAGGCUUUUAUUUCUGAUGUUAUCUGUUAGCAAAUACAUAACUAAUGUGAAAAUGUUGGUUUCUAUCUAAGCAGUCAUUACAUAUUUGAUGUUUUAUUUUAUUGCUAUCCUAUUUUUCUGCUAAGUGUACACUAAACAACAUAGUGGAAAGUUCCUGACAAAACAGGAAGAGCGUGACAAGAUUGCCACAUGGGAAAGGACAGUUGAGCACACGCACUGCCAGCGUAGCGAGACCUGUGCGUGAAACAUGCAGCUGUCAUGUGUGAAGCCUGCCACACAUGUGAAGGUGUGAAGGUGACAGCGAGAGCAAAGGUAUUUCUGUGCCAGCCUUUCCUUUGUGUCUGCGUUGCGGCUCGCUGGGCUUUUAUUUCUAAUGCUAUCUCUUAUGCUUUGUAAGCAAGAACACAGCUGAUUGGAAAAUGUUGACGUCCAUUGUAGCACUCAUUACACAUUAGAAUUUUAUUUUAUUUACAUCUUAUUUCCUUAUUUAGGUACAAUAAUUGAGGUAAAAUUUUUUUGGUGGAGUGCUGUUGGUAUUUUCAUUGUAUUUCUUGUAGGAAUGUAACUCUGUUGUUCUGUUUUACACCAAAAACCAGCCCACGCUGAAAAUUUUGAUCCUUUUUUAUAAACUCAGUGAAUAUUAAAAAUGCAAUAUUUUGUUUUGUGAUUUUGUUUACUGUUAAGCACUCAUUGUUUAAUAUAAUAGAAUUCAUAAAAUUCAAACUAAUACUUCAUCAACAGAACCCUUCUAAUGAGUAAACACGACUGACACCCCGAUGUCACGCUACGAGGUGGUGAGCAGUAUGUUAGGCUAGCAGGGUUUUAAGAGCUGUGAAAUGAACAGCCCUCACAUGCGACCCGGGCCGCACGAGCAGAUGCCUUCAGCGGGACCACUGGCUGCUGACUCACAGCCAGCUUUCUAAGGUGCUGUGAAGCCUUCGCGUCCGUCACAGGGUGGCCUAGUCGGGGGCAGCCCAGUGUCCCUCUCUAUCCCCCUCCCAGGAUGCCUGGGAGGGGAAGGGACAGCAGAUUCUGUUGUCUUCCCGAGGCCUCUGCUCAGCUUCAGCCCACAUCAGGAGGCUGGGAGGUAGAGACCACUCAGCUUGUCACUAGCCAGUGGCGGGGCGUGGCCUCGCUCCUGUGCAUCUUGGCGGCUUGGUGGCCUGCUCUGGAGCUGGGCCUGUCUCCACCUGCAGGUUGAACGGGUGCUGU